UUUAAGCUUCAUAUAUAAAGUUAUUACUUUUAUUAGAA
Molecule: transfer RNA, 38 nt
Filed under: Libnotes perkinsi
Lineage: Eukaryota; Metazoa; Arthropoda; Insecta; Diptera; Limoniidae
Description: partial tRNA-Leu
Source: RNAcentral